CGAUGAUGCCCAGCUUGCUGGGUGGAUUAGUGGCGAACGGGUGAGUAACACGUGAGUAACCUGCCCCUGACUCUGGGAUAAGCGUUGGAAACGACGUCUAAUACUGGAUAUGAUCACUGGCCGCAUGGUCUGGUGGUGGAAAGAUUUUUUGGUUGGGGAUGGACUCGCGGCCUAUCAGCUUGUUGGUGAGGUAAUGGCUCACCAAGGCGACGACGGGUAGCCGGCCUGAGAGGGUGACCGGCCACACUGGGACUGAGACACGGCCCAGACUCCUACGGGAGGCAGCAGUGGGGAAUAUUGCACAAUGGGCGAAAGCCUGAUGCAGCAACGCCGCGUGAGGGAUGACGGCCUUCGGGUUGUAAACCUCUUUUAGUAGGGAAGAAGCGAAAGUGACGGUACCUGCAGAAAAAGCACCGGCUAACUACGUGCCAGCAGCCGCGGUAAUACGUAGGGUGCAAGCGUUGUCCGGAAUUAUUGGGCGUAAAGAGCUCGUAGGCGGUUUGUCGCGUCUGCUGUGAAAUCCCGAGGCUCAACCUCGGGCUUGCAGUGGGUACGGGCAGACUAGAGUGCGGUAGGGGAGAUUGGAAUUCCUGGUGUAGCGGUGGAAUGCGCAGAUAUCAGGAGGAACACCGAUGGCGAAGGCAGAUCUCUGGGCCGUAACUGACGCUGAGGAGCGAAAGCGUGGGGAGCGAACAGGAUUAGAUACCCUGGUAGUCCACGCCGUAAACGUUGGGCGCUAGAUGUAGGGACCUUUCCACGGUUUCUGUGUCGUAGCUAACGCAUUAAGCGCCCCGCCUGGGGAGUACGGCCGCAAGGCUAAAACUCAAAGGAAUUGACGGGGGCCCGCACAAGCGGCGGAGCAUGCGGAUUAAUUCGAUGCAACGCGAAGAACCUUACCAAGGCUUGACAUACACCGGAAACGGCCAGAGAUGGUCGCCCCCUUGUGGUCGGUGUACAGGUGGUGCAUGGUUGUCGUCAGCUCGUGUCGUGAGAUGUUGGGUUAAGUCCCGCAACGAGCGCAACCCUCGUUCUAUGUUGCCAGCGCGUUAUGGCGGGGACUCAUAGGAGACUGCCGGGGUCAACUCGGAGGAAGGUGGGGAUGACGUCAAAUCAUCAUGCCCCUUAUGUCUUGGGCUUCACGCAUGCUACAAUGGCCGGUACAAAGGGCUGCGAUACCGUAAGGUGGAGCGAAUCCCAAAAAGCCGGUCUCAGUUCGGAUUGAGGUCUGCAACUCGACCUCAUGAAGUCGGAGUCGCUAGUAAUCGCAGAUCAGCAACGCUGCGGUGAAUACGUUCCCGGGCCUUGUACACACCGCCCGUCAAGUCAUGAAAGUCGGUAACACCCGAAGCCGGUGGCCUAAC
This 1361-nucleotide ribosomal RNA is filed under the name Curtobacterium pusillum. RNAcentral's name for it is "bacterial SSU rRNA". It matches the Rfam family "Bacterial small subunit ribosomal RNA", at positions 67 to 1439 of the family's 1533-position model. Lineage: Bacteria; Bacillati; Actinomycetota; Actinomycetes; Micrococcales; Microbacteriaceae. The record is from RNAcentral.